GUGAAUCAUCAAAUUUUUGAACGCAAAUUGCACUCUCUGGUAUGCCGGAGAGUAUGCCUGUUUGAGGGUCAGUAUAAUCAAAAUCGGAGCUGUUCCGUUGGGGUGAAGGACCGGAGUUGGGGUCAUCUUAACUCUUUAAGAGACCUAACAUCAACAUUCUUUUUUUGCUCAUUUUUAAACGUACAUAAUUUUUAUUAUUUGACUAGCUUGGUGG
RNAcentral lists this unclassified non-coding RNA (214 nucleotides) under Rhizophagus clarus. RNAcentral describes it as "partial contains 5.8S ribosomal RNA and internal transcribed spacer 2". The stretch from base 1 to 71 matches the Rfam family "5.8S ribosomal RNA", at positions 84 to 154 of the family's 154-position model. The record is from RNAcentral. Lineage: Eukaryota; Fungi; Glomeromycota; Glomeromycetes; Glomerales; Glomeraceae.